RNAcentral lists this microRNA precursor (84 nucleotides) under Bombyx mori (domestic silkworm). RNAcentral's name for it is "mir-2807 microRNA precursor family". It matches the Rfam family "mir-2807 microRNA precursor family". Lineage: Eukaryota; Metazoa; Arthropoda; Insecta; Lepidoptera; Bombycidae. The record is from Rfam by way of RNAcentral.
UUAACUCAUAUUUGUGUAGAGUUGGAACGUUUGCCUACGUUUGCCGCUAGGGGCGCUGUUCCAAUUCAAUACAAAUUUGAGUUA